GAGAAAUGGGUAUAAGUGUUGUCU
This 24-nucleotide small nuclear RNA is filed under the name Arabidopsis thaliana (thale cress). Its description in RNAcentral is "snRNA_14906". Lineage: Eukaryota; Viridiplantae; Streptophyta; Magnoliopsida; Brassicales; Brassicaceae. The record is from RNAcentral.